RNA transcript from Tyto alba (common barn owl), 242 nucleotides. RefSeq lists it as uncharacterized. The record is from RefSeq and is a predicted model, not a curated record. The transcript is spliced from 2 exons. Lineage: Eukaryota; Metazoa; Chordata; Aves; Strigiformes; Tytonidae.
CGAACAUGGUCCCAGAGGCUGCCAGGACGACUCAGAAGAAGCCCCCAGCUGAGGGCUCGAAGCAGCCCUGAGGACCCACCAGCCACAGGGCAACACCAGAGAAUGGAGUGACAGACCACUAUGGGGGUGUCACAUGCAAAGAACUGUAUUCUCCAUAUUGUCUGACAAGUGUCUUCACAGGCCGCGGCUAUGAAGGGGGCAGGUUAAUGCUAUGAUAACCAAUUACAAGAGUUUCUUUUUUA